CCUACGGGGUGCAGCAGUGAGGAAUAUUGGUCAAUGGACGAGAGUCUGAACCAGCCAAGUAGCGUGAAGGCUGACUGCCCUAUGGGUUGUAAACUUCCUUUAUAUGGGAAUAAAAUGUUCCACGUGUGGGAUUUUGUAUGUACCAUAUGAAUAAGGAUCGGCUAACUCCGUGCCAGCAGCCGCGGUAAUACGGAGGAUCCGAGCGUUAUCCGGAUUUAUUGGGUUUAAAGGGAGCGUAGGUGGAUUGUUAAGUCAGUUGUGAAAGUUUGCGGCUCAACCGUAAAAUUGCAGUUGAAACUGGCAGUCUUGAGUACAGUAGAGGUGGGCGGAAUUCGUGGUGUAGCGGUGAAAUGCUUAGAUAUCACGAAGAACUCCGAUUGCGAAGGCAGUUCACUGGACUGCAACUGACACUGAGGCUCGAAAGUGUGGGUAUCAAACAGGAUUAGAUACCCUAGUAGUC
RNAcentral lists this ribosomal RNA (460 nucleotides) under uncultured bacterium. RNAcentral describes it as "partial 16S ribosomal RNA". It matches the Rfam family "Bacterial small subunit ribosomal RNA", at positions 338 to 795 of the family's 1533-position model. The record is from RNAcentral.